RNAcentral lists this ribosomal RNA (305 nucleotides) under uncultured bacterium. RNAcentral describes it as "bacterial SSU rRNA". It matches the Rfam family "Bacterial small subunit ribosomal RNA", at positions 338 to 640 of the family's 1533-position model. The record is from RNAcentral.
CCUACGGGACGCAGCAGUGAGGAAUAUUGGUCAAUGGGCGCGAGCCUGAACCAGCCAAGUCGCGUGAGGGAAGACGGUCCUAUGGAUUGUAAACCUCUUUUGUCGGGGAGCAAAAGACGCCACGCGUGGCGUUCCGAGAGUACCCGAAGAAAAAGCAUCGGCUAACUCCGUGCCAGCAGCCGCGGUAAUACGUAGGGGGCAAGCGUUAUCCGGAUUUACUGGGUGUAAAGGGAGCGUAGACGAUGCGCCAAGUCUGGAGUGAAAUGCCGCAGCUUAACUGCGGAACUGCUUUGGAAACUGGCGAA